AUUGAACGCUGGCGGCAUGCUUUACACAAGCAAGUCGAACGGUAACAGGGUGCUUGCACCGCUGACGAGUGGCGAACGGGUGAGUAAUGCGUCGGAACGUGCCGAGUAGUGGGGGAUAACGCAGCGAAAGUUGUGCUAAUACCGCAUACGUACUGAGGUAGAAAGUGGGGGACCUUCGGGCCUCACGCUAUUCGAGCGGCCGACGUCUGAUUAGCUAGUAGGUGAGGUAAAGGCUCACCUAGGCGACGAUCAGUAGCGGGUCUGAGAGGAUGAUCCGCCACACUGGGACUGAGACACGGCCCAGACUCCUACGGGAGGCAGCAGUGGGGAAUUUUGGACAAUGGGCGAAAGCCUGAUCCAGCCAUGCCGCGUGUCUGAAGAAGGCCUUCGGGUUGUAAAGGACUUUUGUCAGGGAGGAAAUCCCUAGCGUUAAUACCGCUGGGGAUGACAGUACCUGAAGAAUAAGCACCGGCUAACUACGUGCCAGCAGCCGCGGUAA
RNAcentral lists this ribosomal RNA (499 nucleotides) under uncultured bacterium. RNAcentral describes it as "partial 16S ribosomal RNA". It matches the Rfam family "Bacterial small subunit ribosomal RNA", at positions 30 to 523 of the family's 1533-position model. The record is from RNAcentral.